AUCCUCGUUAGGUGAGGCUCCUAUAUGGAGAUAAGCUACUGCCCAGAAACGUCGAGAGACACCAAUGGGUCAGCAGAAACUGUCGAGCUAAGGCGGUAUCUAAUGUAGCCGGGAAAAUUCCCAUGCCAUAUAGUGCUAAAACUUUACGAAAGAGG
This 155-nucleotide small RNA is filed under the name uncultured Ignatzschineria sp. RNAcentral describes it as "M-box riboswitch (ykoK leader)". It matches the Rfam family "M-box riboswitch aptamer (ykoK leader)". Rfam says of the family: M-box riboswitch, also know as ykoK leader is described as a metaloregulatory RNA that sense divalent metals and function as a genetic control element of genes related to divalent metal transport in bacteria. The record is from RNAcentral. Lineage: Bacteria; Pseudomonadati; Pseudomonadota; Gammaproteobacteria; Cardiobacteriales; Ignatzschineriaceae.